This 305-nucleotide unclassified non-coding RNA is filed under the name Hevea brasiliensis (rubber tree). The record is from RNAcentral. Lineage: Eukaryota; Viridiplantae; Streptophyta; Magnoliopsida; Malpighiales; Euphorbiaceae.
GGAGGCCUUCCUCGGCUAAAGCUGUCGGGUGAAACUGCACGAAUUCCAUGUUUGAGAUCACGGCUUGAGCACGGUGUGCCAUUGCAAUUCCAUCACCAGUUGCAACCAGAGGAUUUGUGGUCGUGGGGUAAAUAUGCCCAGCUCCUCCAGAUGCAAGCAAGACCACUUUAGAGAUGAAACGGACAAUCUGUUGUGUUCCUAUAUUUAGUGUAUCCACGCCAUAGCAAGAUACUUCUUUAUCACCCUGUGAAGUCAACAGAUCAAUAGCAAAAUGGUGGCCAAACAUAGAAAUGUUAGGAUCUUUC